This 253-nucleotide ribosomal RNA is filed under the name uncultured bacterium. RNAcentral describes it as "partial 16S ribosomal RNA". It matches the Rfam family "Bacterial small subunit ribosomal RNA", at positions 524 to 776 of the family's 1533-position model. The record is from RNAcentral.
UACGGAGGAUGCAAGCGUUAUCCGGAAUGAUUGGGCGUAAAGCGUCCGCAGGUGGCAAUGUAAGUCUGCUGUCAAAGCGUCUGGCUCAACCAGAUAAAGGCAGUGGAAACUACAUAGCUAGAGUAAGGUAGGGGUAGAGGGAAUUCCCGGUGUAGCGGUGAAAUGCGCAGAUAUCGGGAAGAACACCCGUGGCGAAGGCGGCUCUCUGGGACGGUACUGACGCUGAGACGCGAAAGCGUGGGGAGCGAACAGG